CAGUCGAGCGAAGCGCAUAAGUUUGAUUCUUCGGAUGAAGAUUUUUGUGACUGUUAGGCGGACGGGUGAGUAACGCGUGGGUAACCUGCCUUACACAGGGGGAUAACAGUUAGAAAUGACUGCUAAUACCGCAUAAGACCCCGGUACCGCAUGGUACAGAGGUAAAAACUGAGGUGGUGUAAGAUGGACCCGCGUCUGAUUAGGUAGUUGGUGAGGUAACGGCUCACCAAGCCGACGAUCAGUAGCCGGCCUGAGAGGGUGGACGGCCACAUUGGGACUGAGACACGGCCCAGACUCCUACGGGAGGCAGCAGUGGGGAAUAUUGCACAAUGGGGGAAACCCUGAUGCAGCGACGCCGCGUGAGCGAUGAAGUAUUUCGGUAUGUAAAGCUCUAUCAGCAGGGAAGAAAAUGACGGUACCUGACUAAGAAGCCCCGGCUAACUACGUGCCAGCAGCCGCGGUAAUACGUAGGGGGCAAGCGUUAUCCGGAUUUACUGGGUGUAAAGGGAGCGUAGACGGCAUGGCAAGCCAGAUGUGAAAUACCGGGGCUCAACCCCGGGACUGCAUUUGGAACUGUUAAGCUGGAGUGUCGGAGAGGCAGGCGGAAUUCCUAGUGUAGCGGUGAAAUGCGUAGAUAUUAGGAGGAACACCAGUGGCGAAGGCGGCCUGCUGGACGAUAACUGACGUUGAGGCUCGAAAGC
RNAcentral lists this ribosomal RNA (701 nucleotides) under uncultured bacterium. Its description in RNAcentral is "bacterial SSU rRNA". It matches the Rfam family "Bacterial small subunit ribosomal RNA", at positions 59 to 760 of the family's 1533-position model. The record is from RNAcentral.